GCCCUGGUGGUGCAAUGGUUAAGCACUUGACUACUAACCAAAAAGUUGGUGGUUCGAACCCACCCAGUGGUU
Molecule: transfer RNA, 72 nt
Filed under: Loxodonta africana (African savanna elephant)
Lineage: Eukaryota; Metazoa; Chordata; Mammalia; Proboscidea; Elephantidae
Rfam family: tRNA
About the family: Transfer RNA (tRNA) molecules are approximately 80 nucleotides in length. Their secondary structure includes four short double-helical elements and three loops (D, anti-codon, and T loops).
Source: Rfam by way of RNAcentral